This 533-nucleotide ribosomal RNA is filed under the name Vibrio sp. HR05-18. RNAcentral describes it as "bacterial SSU rRNA". It matches the Rfam family "Bacterial small subunit ribosomal RNA", at positions 100 to 629 of the family's 1533-position model. Lineage: Bacteria; Pseudomonadati; Pseudomonadota; Gammaproteobacteria; Vibrionales; Vibrionaceae. The record is from RNAcentral.
GGACGGGUGAGUAAUGCCUAGGAAAUUGCCUUGAUGUGGGGGAUAACCAUUGGAAACGAUGGCUAAUACCGCAUAAUGCCUACGGGCCAAAGAGGGGGACCUUCGGGCCUCUCGCGUCAAGAUAUGCCUAGGUGGGAUUAGCUAGUUGGUGAGGUAAUGGCUCACCAAGGCGACGAUCCCUAGCUGGUCUGAGAGGAUGAUCAGCCACACUGGAACUGAGACACGGUCCAGACUCCUACGGGAGGCAGCAGUGGGGAAUAUUGCACAAUGGGCGAAAGCCUGAUGCAGCCAUGCCGCGUGUAUGAAGAAGGCCUUCGGGUUGUAAAGUACUUUCAGUUGUGAGGAAGGGGGUNNNGUUAAUANCGGUAUCUCUUGACGUUAGCAACAGAAGAAGCACCGGCUAACUCCGUGCCAGCAGCCGCGGUAAUACGGAGGGUGCGAGCGUUAAUCGGAAUUACUGGGCGUAAAGCGCAUGCAGGUGGUUCAUUAAGUCAGAUGUGAAAGCCCGGGGCUCAACCUCGGAACUGCAUUUG